This 428-nucleotide ribosomal RNA is filed under the name uncultured Methylomicrobium sp. RNAcentral describes it as "bacterial SSU rRNA". It matches the Rfam family "Bacterial small subunit ribosomal RNA", at positions 355 to 776 of the family's 1533-position model. The record is from RNAcentral. Lineage: Bacteria; Pseudomonadati; Pseudomonadota; Gammaproteobacteria; Methylococcales; Methylococcaceae.
UGGGGAAUAUUGGACAAUGGGCGAAAGCCUGAUCCAGCAAUACCGCGUGUGUGAAGAAGGCCUGAGGGUUGUAAAGCACUUUUAAUCGGGAGGAACAUCUGCGGGCCAAUACCCCGUAGUCUGACAUUACCGAUAGAAAAAGCACCGGCUAACUCCGUGCCAGCAGCCGCGGUAAUACGGAGGGUGCAAGCGUUAAUCGGAAUUACUGGGCGUAAAGCGUGCGUAGGCGGUUGCUUAAGUCAGAUGUGAAAGCCCCGGGCUUAACCUGGGAACUGCAUUUGAUACUGGGCGACUAGAGUUGAGUAGAGGAGAGUGGAAUUUCAGGUGUAGCGGUGAAAUGCGUAGAGAUCUGAAGGAACACCAGUGGCGAAGGCGACUCUCUGGACUCAAACUGACGCUGAGGUACGAAAGCGUGGGUAGCAAACAGG